RNAcentral lists this transfer RNA (87 nucleotides) under Patescibacteria group bacterium. RNAcentral's name for it is "tRNA-Leu". It matches the Rfam family "tRNA". From Rfam's summary of the family: Transfer RNA (tRNA) molecules are approximately 80 nucleotides in length. Their secondary structure includes four short double-helical elements and three loops (D, anti-codon, and T loops). Further hydrogen bonds mediate the characteristic L-shaped molecular structure. tRNAs have two regions of fundamental functional importance: the anti-codon, which is responsible for specific mRNA codon recognition, and the 3' end, to which the tRNAs corresponding amino acid is attached (by aminoacyl-tRNA synthetases). tRNAs cope with the degeneracy of the genetic code in two manners: having more than one tRNA (with a specific anti-codon) for a particular amino acid; and 'wobble' base-pairing, i.e. permitting non-standard base-pairing at the 3rd anti-codon position. The record is from RNAcentral.
GGGCGAGUGGCGGAAUUGGUAGACGCACUAGCUUCAGGUGCUAGCGGUCGCAAGACCAUGAGGGUUCAAGUCCCUCCUCGCCCACCA